Molecule: ribosomal RNA, 485 nt
Filed under: uncultured Propionibacterium sp.
Lineage: Bacteria; Bacillati; Actinomycetota; Actinomycetes; Propionibacteriales; Propionibacteriaceae
Description: bacterial SSU rRNA
Rfam family: Bacterial small subunit ribosomal RNA
Source: RNAcentral
GUUUAGUUUGCUCCUGGCUCAGGACGAACGCUGGCGGCGUGCUUAACACAUGCAAGUCGAACGGAAAGGCCCUGCUUUUGUGGGGUGCUUGAGUGGCGAACGGGUGAGUAACACGUGAGUAACCUGCCCUUGACUUUGGGAUAACUUCAGGAAACUGGGGCUAAUACCGGAUAGGAGCUCCUGCUGCAUGGUGGGGGUUGGAAAGUUUCGGCGGUUGGGGAUGGACUCGCGGUUUAUCAGCUUGUUGGUGGGGUAGUGGCUUACCAAGGCUUUGACGGGUAGCCGGCCUGAGAGGGUGACCGGCCACAUUGGGACUGAGAUACGGCCCAGACUCCUACGGGAGGCAGCAGUGGGGAAUAUUGCACAAUGGGCGGAAGCCUGAUGCAGCGACGCCGCGUGCGGGAUGACGGCCUUCGGGUUGUAAACCUGUUUUCGCCUGUGACGAAGCGUGAGUGACGGUACCUUACUGAAGAAGCUUACGGCUA